This 253-nucleotide ribosomal RNA is filed under the name uncultured bacterium. RNAcentral describes it as "partial 16S ribosomal RNA". It matches the Rfam family "Bacterial small subunit ribosomal RNA", at positions 524 to 776 of the family's 1533-position model. The record is from RNAcentral.
UACGAAGGGGGCUAGCGUUGCUCGGAAUCACUGGGCGUAAAGCGCACGUAGGCGGAUUGUUAAGUCAGAGGUGAAAGCCUGGAGCUCAACUCCAGAACUGCCUUUGAUACUGGCAAUCUCGAGUCCGGAAGAGGUAAGUGGAACUGCGAGUGUAGAGGUGAAAUUCGUAGAUAUUCGCAAGAACACCAGUGGCGAAGGCGGCUUACUGGUCCGGUACUGACGCUGAGGUGCGAAAGCGUGGGGAGCAAACAGG